This 2295-nucleotide ribosomal RNA is filed under the name human oral metagenome. Its description in RNAcentral is "bacterial LSU rRNA". It matches the Rfam family "Bacterial large subunit ribosomal RNA", at positions 638 to 2925 of the family's 2925-position model. The record is from RNAcentral.
UAGCGAGCUUAACCGAAUAGGGGAGGCGUAGGGAAACCGAGUCUUAAUAGGGCGAACAGUUGCUGGGUGUAGACCCGAAACCGAGUGAUCUAUCCAUGGCCAGGUUGAAGGUGCCGUAACAGGUACUGGAGGACCGAACCCACGCAUGUUGCAAAAUGCGGGGAUGAGCUGUGGAUAGGGGUGAAAGGCUAAACAAACUCGGAGAUAGCUGGUUCUCCCCGAAAACUAUUUAGGUAGUGCCUCGAGCAAGACACUGAUGGGGGUAAAGCACUGUUAUGGCUAGGGGGUUAUUGCAACUUACCAACCCAUGGCAAACUAAGAAUACCAUCAAGUGGUUCCUCGGGAGACAGACAGCGGGUGCUAACGUCCGUUGUCAAGAGGGAAACAACCCAGACCGCCAGCUAAGGUCCCAAAUGAUAGAUUAAGUGGUAAACGAAGUGGGAAGGCCCAGACAGCCAGGAUGUUGGCUUAGAAGCAGCCAUCAUUUAAAGAAAGCGUAAUAGCUCACUGGUCGAGUCGUCCUGCGCGGAAGAUGUAACGGGGCUCAAAUCUAUAACCGAAGCUGCGGAUGCCAGUUUACUGGCAUGGUAGGGGAGCGUUCUGUAGGCCGAUGAAGGUGCAUUGUAAAGUGUGCUGGAGGUAUCAGAAGUGCGAAUGUUGACAUGAGUAGCGAUAAAGCGGGUGAAAAGCCCGCUCGCCGAAAGCCCAAGGUUUCCUACGCAACGUUCAUCGGCGUAGGGUGAGUCGGCCCCUAAGGCGAGGCAGAAAUGCGUAGUCGAUGGGAAACAGGUUAAUAUUCCUGUACUUGAUUCAAAUGCGAUGUGGGGACGGAGAAGGUUAGGUUAGCAAGCUGUUGGAAUAGCUUGUUUAAGCCGGUAGGUGGAAGACUUAGGCAAAUCCGGGUCUUCUUAACACCGAGAAGUGACGACGAGUGUCUACGGACAUGAAGUAACCGAUACCACGCUUCCAGGAAAAGCCACUAAGCUUCAGUUUGAAUCGAACCGUACCGCAAACCGACACAGGUGGGCAGGAUGAGAAUUCUAAGGCGCUUGAGAGAACUCGGGAGAAGGAACUCGGCAAAUUGAUACCGUAACUUCGGGAGAAGGUAUGCCCUCUAAGGUUAAGGACUUGCUCCGUAAGCCUCGGAGGGUCGCAGAGAAUAGGUGGCUGCGACUGUUUAUUAAAAACACAGCACUCUGCUAACACGAAAGUGGACGUAUAGGGUGUGACGCCUGCCCGGUGCUGGAAGGUUAAUUGAAGAUGUGAGAGCAUCGGAUCGAAGCCCCAGUAAACGGCGGCCGUAACUAUAACGGUCCUAAGGUAGCGAAAUUCCUUGUCGGGUAAGUUCCGACCCGCACGAAUGGCGUAACGAUGGCCACACUGUCUCCUCCCGAGACUCAGCGAAGUUGAAGUGGUUGUGAAGAUGCAAUCUACCCGCUGCUAGACGGAAAGACCCCGUGAACCUUUACUGUAGCUUUGCAUUGGACUUUGAAGUCACUUGUGUAGGAUAGGUGGGAGGCUUUGAAGCAGAGACGCCAGUCUCUGUGGAGCCGUCCUUGAAAUACCACCCUGGUGUCUUUGAGGUUCUAACCCAGACCCGUAAUCCGGGUCGGGGACCGUGCAUGGUAGGCAGUUUGACUGGGGCGGUCUCCUCCCAAAGAGUAACGGAGGAGUUCGAAGGUUACCUAGGUCCGGUCGGAAAUCGGACUGAUAGUGCAAUGGCAAAAGGUAGCUUAACUGCGAGACCGACAAGUCGAGCAGGUGCGAAAGCAGGACAUAGUGAUCCGGUGGUUCUGUAUGGAAGGGCCAUCGCUCAACGGAUAAAAGGUACUCCGGGGAUAACAGGCUGAUUCCGCCCAAGAGUUCAUAUCGACGGCGGAGUUUGGCACCUCGAUGUCGGCUCAUCACAUCCUGGGGCUGUAGUCGGUCCCAAGGGUAUGGCUGUUCGCCAUUUAAAGUGGUACGUGAGCUGGGUUUAAAACGUCGUGAGACAGUUUGGUCCCUAUCUGCAGUGGGCGUUGGAAGUUUGACGGGGGCUGCUCCUAGUACGAGAGGACCGGAGUGGACGAACCUCUGGUGUACCGGUUGUAACGCCAGUUGCAUAGCCGGGUAGCUAAGUUCGGAAGAGAUAAGCGCUGAAAGCAUCUAAGCGCGAAACUCGCCUGAAGAUGAGACUUCCCUUGCGGUUUAACCGCACUAAAGAGUCGUUCGAGACCAGGACGUUGAUAGGUGGGGUGUGGAAGCGCGGUAACGCGUGAAGCUAACCCAUACUAAUUGCUCGUGAGGCUUGACUCU